RNAcentral lists this ribosomal RNA (493 nucleotides) under uncultured bacterium. Its description in RNAcentral is "partial 16S ribosomal RNA". It matches the Rfam family "Bacterial small subunit ribosomal RNA", at positions 29 to 507 of the family's 1533-position model. The record is from RNAcentral.
ACGAACGCUGGCGGCGUGCUUAACACAUGCAAGUCGAACGGUGAAGCGCCUUCCUUUUUGGUGGGUGUGGAUGAGUGGCGAACGGGUGAGUAACACGUGAGUAACCUGCCCCCUUCUUCUGGAUAACCGCAUGAAAGUGUGGCUAAUACGGGAUAUUCUGGGUCUGUCGCAUGAUGGGUCUGGGAAAGAUAUUGUUUCGGUGGGGGAUGGGCUCGCGGCCUAUCAGCUUGUUGGUGGGGUGAUGGCCUACCAAGGCGGUGACGGGUAGCCGGCCUGAGAGGAAGACGGACACACGGGGGCAAGAAACCCGGCCGGAGCACGAAGGGGGGGGGGGGGGGGAAAGUAUAGAGGAAGGGGGGCGAGCGUGUGGCCGCAGCGCGGGGGGAGGGAGGGGGGCGUUGGGUUUUAAACCCUCUUCCGCGGGAGAACAGGGCCUGCCUGUUUUGUGGGUGGUUUGACGGUAGUUGAAUGAAAGACCCCGACAAACUACAAA